GCGGGGGGGGGGGGGCAGCGGGCCCGCCGCCGGCCCCUGCCGGCGUGCAGGCUGCCGUCCGUCCUGGUGCGGUGCGUCACGUCGGUGUGGUGAGACUGGUGCGGCUCACAGGCCUGGCUGCGCCUGUGGAGCAAGUCUGUGUGCAGGCCUGCGGUACUUCCAACCCCAGUUUUAUAAAGUAGUCCUACUUAACGAUAAAAAGUAGAAAUGACCCUAGCCGAGUUUUUAAAAAAUCUCAGUUUACCUAACACCUAUUAAAAUCACGUAAGCCUCAAAAGUGGAAAUAUAUAACCUUUUCAAGUAGAAGUAUUUGCUGCUCCGGUCUGACAGCUGCCUGGACCACCAAACUGGUGGAAGACUCCAAGCGAAUGUGUAUGCAGAAAUUUAAUGAGCCUUCUUCCCCUGUGCCCCUCCAAAGAAAGUGUUUGUGCUGGAAUGAAGUAAGGAACUUGAUCUGGCUGCAAAAAUCUCAUGGAUUUACCUUUCUGGAUUAUUUUUCAGGAAAACGUGACAUAAACAAAAUCAAGCAUUUCAUUACUUAUGUGAAGGAUAACACUCCUAUGA
Long non-coding RNA from Struthio camelus australis, 564 nucleotides. RefSeq lists it as uncharacterized. NCBI's taxonomy places the organism in Eukaryota, Metazoa, Chordata, Aves, Struthioniformes, Struthionidae. The record is from RefSeq and is a predicted model, not a curated record.